RNAcentral lists this ribosomal RNA (427 nucleotides) under uncultured bacterium. Its description in RNAcentral is "partial 16S ribosomal RNA". It matches the Rfam family "Bacterial small subunit ribosomal RNA", at positions 355 to 774 of the family's 1533-position model. The record is from RNAcentral.
UGGGGAAUAUUGCACAAUGGGCGCAAGCCUGAUGCAGCCAUGCCGCGUGUAUGAAGAAGGCCUUCGGGUUGUAAAGUACUUUCAGCGGGGAGGAAGGCGAUAAGGUUAAUAACCUUGUCGAUUGACGUUACCCGCAGAAGAAGCACCGGCUAACUCCGUGCCCGCAGCCGCGGUAAUACGGAGGGUGCAAGCGUUAAACGGAAUUCCUGGGCGUAAAGCGCACGCAGGCGGUCUGUCAAGUCGGAUGUGAAAUCCCCGGGCUCAACCUGGGAACUGCAUUCGAAACUGGCAGGCUAGAGUCUUGUAGAGGGGGGUAGAAUUCCAGGUGUAGCGGUGAAAUGCGUAGAGAUCUGGAGGAAUACCGGUGGCGAAGGCGGCCCCCUGGACAAAGACUGACGCUCAGGUGCGAAAGCGUGGGGAGCAAACA